AUUGAACGCUGGCGGCAGGCCUAACACAUGCAAGUCGAGCGGAUGAAGGGAGCUUGCUCCUGGAUUCAGCGGCGGACGGGUGAGUAAUGCCUAGGAAUCUGCCUGGUAGUGGGGGAUAACGUCCGGAAACGGGCGCUAAUACCGCAUACGUCCUGAGGGAGAAAGUGGGGGAUCUUCGGACCUCACGCUAUCAGAUGAGCCUAGGUCGGAUUAGCUAGUUGGUGGGGUAAAGGCCUACCAAGGCGACGAUCCGUAACUGGUCUGAGAGGAUGAUCAGUCACACUGGAACGGAGACACGGUCCAGACUCCUACGGGAGGCAGCAGUGGGGAAUAUUUGGACAAUGGGCGAAAGCCUGAUCCAGCCAUGCCGCGUGUGUGAAGAAGGUCUUCGGAUUGUAAAGCACUUUAAGUUGGGAGGAAGGGCAGUAAGUUAAUACCUUGCUGUUUUGACGUUACCAACAGAAUAAGCACCGGCUAACUUCGUG
This 485-nucleotide ribosomal RNA is filed under the name uncultured bacterium. RNAcentral's name for it is "partial 16S ribosomal RNA". It matches the Rfam family "Bacterial small subunit ribosomal RNA", at positions 30 to 507 of the family's 1533-position model. The record is from RNAcentral.